This 724-nucleotide ribosomal RNA is filed under the name Bacillus cereus. RNAcentral describes it as "bacterial SSU rRNA". It matches the Rfam family "Bacterial small subunit ribosomal RNA", at positions 57 to 761 of the family's 1533-position model. The record is from RNAcentral. Lineage: Bacteria; Bacillati; Bacillota; Bacilli; Caryophanales; Bacillaceae.
GCAAGUCGAGCGAAUGGAUUAAGAGCUUGCUCUUAUGAAGUUAGCGGCGGACGGGUGAGUAACACGUGGGUAACCUGCCCAUAAGACUGGGAUAACUCCGGGAAACCGGGGCUAAUACCGGAUAACAUUUUGAACCGCAUGGUUCGAAAUUGAAAGGCGGCUUCGGCUGUCACUUAUGGAUGGACCCGCGUCGCAUUAGCUAGUUGGUGAGGUAACGGCUCACCAAGGCAACGAUGCGUAGCCGACCUGAGAGGGUGAUCGGCCACACUGGGACUGAGACACGGCCCAGACUCCUACGGGAGGCAGCAGUAGGGAAUCUUCCGCAAUGGACGAAAGUCUGACGGAGCAACGCCGCGUGAGUGAUGAAGGCUUUCGGGUCGUAAAACUCUGUUGUUAGGGAAGAACAAGUGCUAGUUGAAUAAGCUGGCACCUUGACGGUACCUAACCAGAAAGCCACGGCUAACUACGUGCCAGCAGCCGCGGUAAUACGUAGGUGGCAAGCGUUAUCCGGAAUUAUUGGGCGUAAAGCGCGCGCAGGUGGUUUCUUAAGUCUGAUGUGAAAGCCCACGGCUCAACCGUGGAGGGUCAUUGGAAACUGGGAGACUUGAGUGCAGAAGAGGAAAGUGGAAUUCCAUGUGUAGCGGUGAAAUGCGUAGAGAUAUGGAGGAACACCAGUGGCGAAGGCGACUUUCUGGUCUGUAACUGACACUGAGGCGCGAAAGCG